CCUACGGGGGGCAGCAGUGGGGAAUAUUGGGCAAUGGGCGAAAGCCUGACCCAGCAACGCCGCGUGAAGGAAGAAGGCUUUCGGGUUGUAAACUUCUUUUGCCAGGGAAGAGCAGAAGACGGUACCUGUCGAAUAAGCCACGGCUAACUACGUGCCAGCAGCCGCGGUAAUACGUAGGUGGCAAGCGUUGUCCGUAUUUACUGGGUGGAAAGGGCGUGUAGCCGGGCUGACAAGUCAGAUGUGAAAUCCGGGAGCUCAACCCCCGAACUGCAUUUGAAAAUGUUGGUCUUGAGUAUCGGAGAGGCAGGCGGAAUUCCUAGUGUAGCGGUGAAAUGCGUAGAUAUUAGGAGGAACACCAGUGGCGAAGGCGGCCUGCUGGACGACAACUGACGGUGAGGCGCGAAAGCGUGGGGAGCAAACAGGAUUAGAUACCCGUGUAGUC
This 442-nucleotide ribosomal RNA is filed under the name uncultured bacterium. RNAcentral describes it as "partial 16S ribosomal RNA". It matches the Rfam family "Bacterial small subunit ribosomal RNA", at positions 338 to 795 of the family's 1533-position model. The record is from RNAcentral.